Molecule: long non-coding RNA, 1081 nt
Filed under: Vigna radiata
Lineage: Eukaryota; Viridiplantae; Streptophyta; Magnoliopsida; Fabales; Fabaceae
Description: long non-coding RNA (VRAD_LNC017256)
Source: RNAcentral
AGUUCCUUCAGUUCAAUCUUACUAUCUGGAGCUUUUUCAGUACAGUCCAUCUGUUCGAAGAGCACUUUUUCUGGUGAUUCCUGUGUACAUCUCUGAUGGGCUAUAUCCUCUUCCUCAUUCAGAUUCUCACAUUCAUUCGUUAAAGUUCUUUCUAACAUGGAGACAUUAGGAACUCUAUUCUCUUGAUUCAUACAGAUUUCCUCCACCAGGUCCAUCUAAAAGCAUGAGUUGUCGUCCUUGGGAUGUGACAUAGCUUGGAACACAUCAAAGUUCACCUCUUCAUCUUGCACCUGGACCUUAAGCUUCCCUUUUUCCACAUCAAUGACAAUUCUGGCGGUUUUCAUAAAUGGUCGUCCCAAAAUUAGAGGUGCAUCCCCAUUUUCUUCCAUCUCCAUAACAACAAAAUCUACUGGAAACAAGAACUUAUCAACCUUGACAAUCACAUCUUCAGCAAUCCCAAAAGGGUAUUUGAGGGAUCUGUCAGCUAAUUGGAGAACCAUUCUUGUUUGUUUGAGCUCUACCCCUUUUAAAUUUUUAAACAUAGUUAGAGGCAUCAAAUUUAUGCUGGCUCCAAGAUUAAUCAAGGCUUUUCCAACCUCUAGCUUGCCAAUAGCACAAGGAAUAGUGAAGCUUCCAGGAUCAGAGGAUUUAGGAGGUAGUGAUCGUUGAAUGAUAGCACUGCAAUUCCCUUCUACCUCAAUUGUCUCUUUCUCAGCAUAUGCCCUCUUUUUUCGUAAUGAUUUCCUUCAAAAACUUCGAAUAAGAUGGUAUUUGCUGGAUGGCUUCGGAGAAAGGAAUGGUUAUUUCCAAUUUCUUAAAAAUUUCCAUGAAACGAUCAAAUUGUCAUUGUUUAUCUUUUCUGGAAGAUAUUUUUGGGUAAGGUAGAGGUUUUUCAUACUCCUUCUCUUUGAGCUUCUCAUCUUCUUCUUUCUUUUUCUCGUUCCACAGAUUUUUUUCUUCCUCUUCUUCCCUUUGAUUCUUGUCCUCUUCUAUACUUCUUUUGUCCUCAAUCUCUCUUUCUUUUACAAUUCUUCCACUUCUAGUAACAAUUUCGCAAGCCUCUUCCCUCUUAUCAUUCUUC